UGGAUCUUGGUCAUGUGACAUUGACCAGUGAAUUCAUGUGACAUAUGUUAUGAAGUUUGUGACCUUUUACAGUGAAGGUCAUGCUACUUUGGGAAGGUCAUGUGCAGGGAUGGUAAUAUUCUGCUGAUCCGCAGAUUUCUGCCGAUUCUGUUUCAAAUUGAUCAAUUCUGUGAAUUGUCUAAAUCUGUUGAGAAACCCUGAACCCCCAUUUGAUGACACAAAGUUAUAUUUCCAGCUGAAAAUAGAUUUUCUGUUGCCAUCCCUGCAUGUGUUAUGUUGCAGUGUGAAGGUCAUGUGACAUCAUGCAGUGUGAAGGUCAUGUGACAUCAUGCAGUGUGAAGGUCAUGUGACAUCAUGCAGUUUGAAGGUCAUGUGACAUGCAGUGUGAAGGUCAUGUGACAUGCAGGUUGAAGGUCAUGUGACAUCAUGCAGUGUAAGGUCAUGUGACAUGCAGUUUGAAGGUCAUGUGACAUGCAGUUUGAAGGUCAUGUGACAUGCAGUGUGAGGUCAUGUGACAUCAUGCAGUGUGAAGGUCAUGUGACAUCAUGCAGUGUGAAGGUCAUGUCACAUCAUGCAGUUUGAAGGUAAUGUGACAUGCAGUGUGAAGGUCAUGUGACAUGCUGUGUGAAGGUCAUGUGACAUCAUGCAGUGUGAAGGUCAUGUGACAUGCAGUUUGAAGAUCAUGAGACAUGCAGUGUGAAGGUCAUGAAACCUGACGGGAGUCUUUCAGAAAUGAUACUUAAUGAUUGCUGGAAUGGGACAUGGUUCGACCGCUUGCAAUCUUGCCCUCUGUAGACAGUCAUAUGCUAAUCAUCAUAACAUGUCAUGUGACUGUAGACUCAUGUCAUGUGACAUCCUUGAGUCAUGUGACACCAUCAACAACCAGCUUGUAUCAAUUAUAAACAAUCAGGGCUUUGUCAAUAUCACAAGCAAUCAGAUCAUAACACGUUCCUCAUGCAGUUUGGUAACAAAUGACAAACAUACUGCCAUUGUGUGUCCUUCAGCCAUGUAUCUAAUGUUCCAUUGUGCGAUAUGUUUGUUCCUGAGUUGGCUUGUUGUGAUUGAAAGUGUAUAUCUUAACCAUGUUCUUGUAUGAAGGUGAAUAACACCAUAGUGUACAGGUGUGGCUGAAACAGGUGUUUCAGCAAUUUAGAAAAUAUAAUUAUCAAAAUGAUUGUAUAUUUUUUUGGGCAACAUGAUGAAACUUGUCAGAGAGGAGAAUCAAAUGAAAAAAUGCAAACCUUUGUUGUAGAGUGUCCUUGACAGUUUAUAGAAAAUGUUUCAUUUUCCCCCCAAGGAGGUGUGUCUCUAUGUCCCUAUGUACAACCCAACUAAAUGUCAUGUAUCCUACUCCAGAGAAAUUAAGGAAUAGUUAAUUCCCUGUUGUCAUCUGAAAAUAGUAUGGUGUUCCUUAACCUGUUGAGUAGCAUAUUUGCCAGAUGGUGCUGCAGACAGUGUAGCUUCUAUACUGUUCAACAUUUGAUAGGGAUGCUAUUCUCUGAUACACCAAACCAAUUAAUAGCGUAAAUAUGUUAUGAAACAUCUCAACAUCCCUAUCCAUAGUUUAGCAGAGUAGAUGCUCCAACAAUUAUUUCAAACUGGUUUCCAGCAACAAGUGAGUGAGUGAGUAUGGCUUUAACCUGCUGUUAGCAAUAUUCCAGAAAUAUUAAGGUGGGGGCCCCAGAAAUAGGCACACAUUGUACUUAUGGGGGGAAUCAAACCCAGAUGUUAGGUGUUCUGAGUGAACGCUUCAACCACUAGGCUACCCCUGCACCCUACCAGCAAGUAGUGGAGGAGACUUGUGGUCACAGUGAUGAUGACUCCUCACCCUAAGGACUUGAUUCCAUUUACUUUCAUUACAGUCAUUUGUCCUAAACUAGGAUAUGAUUUCUUCCAUAAUUUAAUCAAGUGAUAUGCCAGUCUACAAA
This is a long non-coding RNA of Haliotis rubra (blacklip abalone), 1928 nucleotides long. RefSeq lists it as uncharacterized. The transcript has 2 exons. Lineage: Eukaryota; Metazoa; Mollusca; Gastropoda; Lepetellida; Haliotidae. The record is from RefSeq and is a predicted model, not a curated record.